This is a long non-coding RNA of Astyanax mexicanus (Mexican tetra), 377 nucleotides long. RefSeq lists it as uncharacterized. The record is from RefSeq and is a predicted model, not a curated record. The transcript is spliced from 3 exons. Lineage: Eukaryota; Metazoa; Chordata; Actinopteri; Characiformes; Acestrorhamphidae.
UAGCUGUUGAAUUUAAAUAAUGGAGGUAGAACUACAGUAUAUUGAAAAAAACGUGAUUGAAAGUUGUCUGUUUUGCCAUUAAAACCUAUGGGGAUGGGUGGGGUUACACAGCUUUCUGCAACCGAACAGCAGGGGGCGCCCGACCUGUGGUGGCUUCACUUUUGAGAGACGAUGUUCUGUCCAGCUAUACUCAGUCUAUGGGCCUUACUUAUAUGUUGAGAUCACCAGCAUCCUUUAAUUCCGUAAGCUUUGGAAAAGAAAGAGACAUGAAAAGAUCAAAAGAAACCAGACAAGAUGCAGACAUCAAAGCCAGCUAGAGGCAGAGGAUGAGAGUGAGUCACGGCCAGACAGAGAGAGAAGAAAUAUGAAACCAGGUA